CCUACGGGUGGCAGCAGUGAGGAAUAUUGGUCAAUGGACGCGAGUCUGAACCAGCCAAGCCGCGUGAAGGAAGAAGGCACAAUGAGUUGUAAACUGCUUUUGUAAGGGGGUAAAGGCAGGUACGCGUACCUGUCUGAAUGUACCGUACGAAUAAGGAUCGGCCAACUCCGUGCCAGCAGCCGCGGUAAUACGGAGGAUGCAAGCGUUAUCCGGAUUUAUUGGGUUAAAGGGGGGCGUAGGCGGGCGUUUAAGUCAGCUGUAAAAGCCCGGGGCUCAACCCCGCCCCGCCGUUGAAACUGGGAGUCUUGAGUUCACGACAGGCAGGCGGAAUUCGUGGUGUAGCGGUGAAAUGCAUAGAUAUCACGCAGAACUCCGAUUGCGAAGGCAGCCUGCCGGAGUGCGACUGACGCUGAGGCUCGAAAGUGUGGGUAUCGAACAGGAUUAGAUACCCCUGUAGUC
RNAcentral lists this ribosomal RNA (459 nucleotides) under uncultured bacterium. RNAcentral's name for it is "partial 16S ribosomal RNA". It matches the Rfam family "Bacterial small subunit ribosomal RNA", at positions 338 to 795 of the family's 1533-position model. The record is from RNAcentral.